Molecule: non-coding RNA, 76 nt
Organism: Podarcis lilfordi (Lilford's wall lizard)
Lineage: Eukaryota; Metazoa; Chordata; Lepidosauria; Squamata; Lacertidae
Source: the annotation of a GenBank genome assembly
GUCAAUUCCCAUAGCUCAGUGGUAAAGCAUUUGCUUUGCAUGCAGAAGGUUCUAGGUUCAAUCCCUGGCUUCUCCA